RNAcentral lists this unclassified non-coding RNA (204 nucleotides) under Hevea brasiliensis (rubber tree). The record is from RNAcentral. Lineage: Eukaryota; Viridiplantae; Streptophyta; Magnoliopsida; Malpighiales; Euphorbiaceae.
GAGAAUUUCAACUAUCUUCUUGGGGAUAAUUUCAACAGAUUGCAACUGGACAAGAGUGACUAGGGUCAUCAAAGACAUACGGCACCACUGCAAGUCAGUAGAAUCUCUUGCAUCUGCUCGAGCAACUUCAGCAAGGGAACGGAUCAAGCUUUUGACAACCUUAGGGGACAGACUUACCUUAUCAGCUAGCAUGCUAACAAUCAU